CUGAAGUGUGAUGAUGCUUAUCCACAUUAUCUGUAGAGUUUCAAUGAUGAAUUCAAAUACAUGCACUACCAUCUGAUCUUAU
Molecule: small nucleolar RNA, 82 nt
Filed under: Capsicum annuum
Lineage: Eukaryota; Viridiplantae; Streptophyta; Magnoliopsida; Solanales; Solanaceae
Source: RNAcentral